This 201-nucleotide long non-coding RNA is filed under the name Neodiprion lecontei (redheaded pine sawfly). RNAcentral's name for it is "uncharacterized LOC124294967". Lineage: Eukaryota; Metazoa; Arthropoda; Insecta; Hymenoptera; Diprionidae. The record is from RNAcentral.
UCCUAAUGAGUAUGAAUUUUUUCUCUGCAUGCACGAUGUAUAAGGAGACUCUAAUGUGUAGAUGUUGUGUUUACCCUUUUUGAAUCCUUGCUUCCGAUGAGAAGCCCGUAAGACAAGCAAUGCCGUCUAUUGAAUGAUAUGCGGAUGUGCAAAUCAUUUAUCUACGAGAGAAUAUUUGUUGAAAGAAUGUAAAUUCGAAAA